This is a long non-coding RNA of Uranotaenia lowii, 604 nucleotides long. RefSeq lists it as uncharacterized. NCBI's taxonomy places the organism in Eukaryota, Metazoa, Arthropoda, Insecta, Diptera, Culicidae. The transcript has 4 exons. The record is from RefSeq and is a predicted model, not a curated record.
GAUCUUCAUCAACCGGAACCUGCAGGGCUGGAGGUCAUAUCAUUGUAAAGAAGGUCAACGUAUUUUCGUGUCGCCUACUCUUCCAAAGCAGAAAUCCUCUUAUUUCAACCAAAAUUCCCGGAAUCGCGUGGCAGGAAACGGCUCCAGUAAUGUGCUGGGACACUGUCUUACGCUGGAGUAAGAAAAGUCCGCCUGAGGAAUCUUACUAUGUGCACAGUGCCGAUACGCCAGCAACGGAGGAAACAUGCAAAUUGAAGACGGUCCCGAGCUAAAAAAAAUCCGUUGGGAAGGAUUCUAAAACAUGGCCUAUGAUAGAAGAAUACUAAUCUCUAGAAGAUACGAAACUGCAGGUUACAAUUAAGUCGAGUUGAAAUUCGCGAUAGUGACCUUUUGAAAUGACAGCUCUUCCAGUAAGGCACUCCAUUUGAAUCCAGGAGUCACUUUUGUUUCCAACUAGGCGACGAAGGUGAUAGAUGCGUUUAUUGAAGGCCGAGAAUCCUGAAUACAAUUUAAUCCUCCUCAGCAUUGGGCCUUACAAAUGCUGCUCGGGCGUGACUAUUUGGCGACUUGAAUGUUUUUUUUUUGCAUAAAGAUAAUGACCACA